RNAcentral lists this ribosomal RNA (216 nucleotides) under uncultured bacterium. RNAcentral's name for it is "partial 16S ribosomal RNA". It matches the Rfam family "Bacterial small subunit ribosomal RNA", at positions 1285 to 1500 of the family's 1533-position model. The record is from RNAcentral.
AUCCCAGUUCGGAUUGCAGGCUGCAACCCGCCUGUAUGAAGUUGGAAUCGCUAGUAAUCGCGGAUCAGCAUGCCGCGGUGAAUACGUUCCCGGGCCUUGUACACACCGCCCGUCACACCAUGAGAGUCGGGAACACCCGAAGUCCGUAGCCUAACCGCGAAGGGGGCGCGGCCGAAGGUGGGUUCGAUAAUUGGGGUGAAGUCGUAACAAGGUAGC